CACCCCCACGGUGUGCAGUGGCUGAGGCUGUCCGCUGGGACUACCACGUGGCUGCUGUUGCAUGAGGGGUAUCAUCAGGGAGGCCUGGACUGAGUCUCAGAUGGGUUGGUGUGUUGCACAGAGGUGCCAUGGGAGGCGUAAUCUUCAUGUCAGCCAGGCGCUGGACCCUAGGGCCCCGGACGUGUCCUGUGGGAGGCAGAGACCCUGCAGUGGUGCCAUCACUCAGGAAGUCUGAAGAUGCAGCCUGAUGCCCCUGAGAGACAUGUCUGGCUCCCACAUAACAGGUCAGCUUCAGAUCCAGAAGGAAGUGCCAGGGCCAUGAGUCAGUGGCCUUCAGGAUGACUUGGGAUCUGGGAUUGCUGGUAUUUCUUCAGCAAAGAUUCUCCUGUUGUUCAUGGACACCUGAGGCGCAGAGCAUGGAGAAUGAGGUCCCUGCUGGAAGCUUCCCCAGAGCUUCUCCUUGCCACCCGCUCAUGGUUCCGUUCACUCCGCUUAGUGCUGGGCCUGGAGCUCAGGGUCCACUUCAUCUGGCUCUCCCUCGGAGGGCCGCAGGCAGGGAGGGCCAGCUCUGCUCUCCUGGAUGACUUCAAUGAACAAGUUUUUCCCUGAUGCUCAUUGCUCCCCUCUCUGCCCACCCACCCAAUAAACCAUACAUAUUC
Vicugna pacos (alpaca) is the source of this 659-nucleotide long non-coding RNA. RefSeq lists it as uncharacterized. The record is from RefSeq and is a predicted model, not a curated record. Lineage: Eukaryota; Metazoa; Chordata; Mammalia; Artiodactyla; Camelidae.